AGUGAACGCUGGCGGUAGGCCUAACACAUGCAAGUCGAACGGCAGCACAGUAAGAGCUUGCUCUUACGGGUGGCGAGUGGCGGACGGGUGAGGAAUACAUCGGAAUCUACUUUUUCGUGGGGGAUAACGUAGGGAAACUUACGCUAAUACCGCAUACGACCUACGGGUGAAAGCAGGGGAUCUUCGGACCUUGCGCGAUUGAAUGAGCCGAUGUCGGAUUAGCUAGUUGGCGGGAUAAAGCCCCACCAAGGCGACGAUCCGUAGCUGGUCUGAGGAUGAUCAGCACAACUGGAACUGAGACACGGUCCAGGCUCCUACGGGAGGCAGCAGUGGGGAAUAUUGGACAAUGGGCGCAAGCCUGAUCCAGCCAUACCGCGUGGGUGAAGAAGGCCUUCGGGUUGUAAAGCCCUUUUGUUGGGAAAGAAAAGCAGCAGGUUAAUACCCCGCUGUUCUGACGGUACCCAAAGAAUAGCACCGGCUAACUUCGUG
RNAcentral lists this ribosomal RNA (489 nucleotides) under uncultured bacterium. Its description in RNAcentral is "partial 16S ribosomal RNA". It matches the Rfam family "Bacterial small subunit ribosomal RNA", at positions 29 to 507 of the family's 1533-position model. The record is from RNAcentral.